AUAGAGCUGGCUGGUGACGUAGGAGGAGUGAGCUCAGACAUGAUAUUGUAAAUGCAAUUGAAAACUACGCAGCUGUCUUUAAAGAGACCUGAAGCCUCAACCACCAGAAAUAAAUAACAAGUAAGAAUGAUUUAGUUGACUUUUCCAGCUGCAAAUAAUGCAUUCAGAAAUUAAAUAUGCACCAAACAUAAGACGAUGAAGCUGGAUCUCAAUCUAGAUGGGAAGAUGGAAGCUUUUCUCUAUACAAUUUAGAAGCAACACAGAUUGGUCUGCAACAAAACCAAUGGAAGGCUUACUUCGCAGGAGAGAUGGUACCGACACUUGUUCCUAAUCCGAGUUCCAGUGUCGGCAUCAUAUCUUCUACGGAGCAAGCCGAAGAUUUGAAUAUACAAUGCGAAGAAUGGUGCCCCAAGUUCAUCUAUCUUCUCCUUUAGAGUUUAGGACUUGGAUUAGUGUCGAUAUCCAAAUUCCUUUCGAAGUAUCAGCAUAACGUCUCGAUCUAUUUAGUUUCAACUUUCAACCUCACAAAUCAGAGCUUUUCCCACAACAAACUAGAUUGAACUUUACUUCAUGUGAAUCAAAGGGUUCAAGCAAUUGAGUAGGCAGAUUCAUAAUGGAAAAGCAACCGGUUGUGAUCAUAAUAAUAUCAAGAAAA
Long non-coding RNA from Cucurbita moschata (crookneck pumpkin), 655 nucleotides. RefSeq lists it as uncharacterized. The transcript is spliced from 2 exons. NCBI's taxonomy places the organism in Eukaryota, Viridiplantae, Streptophyta, Magnoliopsida, Cucurbitales, Cucurbitaceae. The record is from RefSeq and is a predicted model, not a curated record.